This 89-nucleotide microRNA precursor is filed under the name Notamacropus eugenii (tammar wallaby). RNAcentral describes it as "miRNA (ENSMEUG00000017150.1)". Lineage: Eukaryota; Metazoa; Chordata; Mammalia; Diprotodontia; Macropodidae. The record is from RNAcentral.
UGUGUACUCUGUGUGUGUAUGUAUAUGUAUAUAUAUGUACAUACACACACACACACACACACACACACACACACACACACACACACACA